GGGGCCAGCAGGAUGGGUACAGUUACACCACAGCGAUAGUAAGACGUUCAUGGGAAAUGGCCAGGAGCUACUCCCUGAAGAUGGAAUCCCUCAGACACAUCAAAACUCCUGCCUCCUCCCGCCAGCUGUUUUCCCAGACAGAAUCCACUCAGCAGCAGACCUGGAGAGAGAGAAAGAGAGCAAGGAGAGGAGGAGCGGAGAGAGAGAGAGAGGGAGACACAGAAUCUGAAGCAGGCUCCAGGCUCCAAGCUGUCAGCACAGAGCCUGACACGGGGCUCGAACUCACGAACCUCGAGAUCAUGACCUGAGCCGAAGUCGGAUGCCUAACCUCCUGAGCCACUCAGGUGCCCAUGAAAAACCAUGUCUUAUAGAAAUAUCCAUACUGGAACAGGGGAAGAUUUUCCCUGUUCAAUAAAACUCAGGAACAACAAAAAUAAAGUUGCAUUUUUGAUCAAGACUCAAUCAA
Molecule: long non-coding RNA, 466 nt
Organism: Neofelis nebulosa (Clouded leopard)
Lineage: Eukaryota; Metazoa; Chordata; Mammalia; Carnivora; Felidae
Exons: 2
Source: RefSeq, a predicted model, not a curated record